This 8261-nucleotide long non-coding RNA is filed under the name Setaria viridis. RNAcentral describes it as "long non-coding RNA (SVIR_LNC005264)". Lineage: Eukaryota; Viridiplantae; Streptophyta; Magnoliopsida; Poales; Poaceae. The record is from RNAcentral.
CAUCACAUGUGCUAUUUAGGUCGAGUGGUGUUGACGGUUGUUAGCACGCCAAUUUGUAAACCGCAAGUGUAUGGAUCAGUUGUAACUCUUCCCUCAGAGUAUUCCCCCAAGGUUAUCAAUAAGUGGAACUUAUUAACUUGGUGUUUAUGAGAGAUUCAAAUCCAAUCUACUAGGCAUGUAUAGACAGAUAACAGAUGGAGCAAAGAUAACUAAUCUAGAGAAACUAGACUAUGCAAAGGUAUCCCUCACAUAUGUUGUAAUUCUGAGCAUGGAUAGCAAAACAACACAGAUGUGAUCUUAGUUUAAAUCUACAUCUCCGGUCCGGAUCCCGAAACCCCCCCACCUUACACAAGAAAGAUCCUGUCACGAUCAUCUCUAUCAGCGCAAGCAGGUUAAGGGCAUAAUCAUGUUCUAGGGCAUAAUCAUGAGAACAUGUCAUACUCAUCAGUAGAUCAUGCAUGCAAAUCUGGUCACCACGACUACAAGAACACCCUAGGCAAUCUAUCAUCGAUUCAUAGAUUGAAAAACAAGCAAACCCGAUAAAGCAUAAAACCAUCAAAGGAGAUACUUAGAUCAUUAAGAACAUGAACACAUCUAUAACUUCACCAUGAAUAAUUGUACAUCACAAGAUCACUGCCGGGAUCCGACCUUGAUCUUGAUGACUUCUAGCUCCAGAACUCUAUCGUGAUCUUCCUCGCAGGGUGAUCACGCCGGCAGAGGUUCACCUACACUAACCCUCGACAACUGUACCACCCUCGGCUCUCUAGAGAGGUGUCCCUCAAGCUCCUUCUGCUUCUCUACUACCUCACGUCGAGUACUCAUCUUGGAUAUGGGGCUUGGUGCAGUUUUUAGUGUAUUUAUAGUCCAGAGAGCGCGUGGUAAAAAUUGUAAGGAAGGGGAAGGAGGAAACCCCCAAGCGGAUCGAGCUGGGAGGGUCCAGCUUGAUCGACCUAGGCCUUCCUUUUAGCCCCUCGCGUCCUGCUUCAUCUCCAAGUCUCCUCAGGUGCUCUGGAAUCUUCUUUUCACUUGCAUGUCGGCCUGGCACGUCGAUUGCUUCAGGAUGAGAUUGAUCUUCAAUGACUUUCCAAAUCUCCGCUUGAUCUUCUCCAAUUCCUCUUUGAUUCCGAGCUGGUCCUUGCCAUAUCUUCACAAACUUAGCCCCUAAGCAAUGUUGGAGGGUUGCUUGCCAAUAAUGGGCACCAGGGGACGCCAGAAGAUGACAGGUCGAUCGGCUUGAGCUCCUCUAAGCCGAUUGGCCUAGCCUCUUCCUGGGCCCGUUGACCUUUGUCAUCGUCUGGUUUGACGCUCGUUCAGUGCUUUAUCCAAAAAUAUGCUUUUAGGCCCACUUUCCUUCAAAAACACAACAUCCUCCAAAAUACGUUGCACAUGUGAAAAUGACCGGUCUAUUAGGUGUAAUCAAUAGUUUAGGUAUUAAAUUCAUAUCAUUAUUGAAGAUAAACAGGGGUAAAAGUGUGUUAAUAACGAGCGUCAAAAAUCCCCCAUGCUUAAACCUUGCUCGUUGUCGAGUAAGUCUUCAAUAGAAAUCAGUGCUGCCUUUCGAUGUUCACUCCUGCACUUGAUCACAUACAAGAAAACAUAAUGCUCUCAUAGAAUUUUUCUAUUAAUAUAUCAAGUUGCUACCAACCUUCUCUAAUAUGGAGGGUAGACAUCAUUUAAGCAUAUCCCACAAUAAAUUUAUUCGUUUUCUCUCAAUUUUAAACAAACAUCAGAAAAUUUUCAAUAAAAACUUUUUCAAAAAGAAACUGAACCAAGAUCAACAAUUUAAAUUUCAUUGCAAUUGCUCAUGUUCUCUCAGCUCAUCAAGUCUCUCAAACCUAUGCUACAACUUCUCCAACCUGUCAUCACUCAUAAAUUAUGUGUAACGCUUUAUUUGGAUCUUUGGGAAGGUUAGUCCUAGCAAAAAUAUUAUAAUCAGGAUAUUAUCAAAACAAGAAAGGCUUCUGAUGGAUCUUACUAAGACUUGUCAAAAAGGUCAUGGAAAAUAAUUAUUUAUGGAGAGGGAGAGAAUGAACACACACAUUUAGAUAGUGGACAUGUGCAAGGGCAAAGAGUGAUCGCGAGGCACAAAUGAAGUCCUCGUAAUCAAAUUGCGCAUGGUUGGAAUAAUGAGUAUGGAAUAAUCUUUAAUCUUGAAAGCACUUGGAAUUUUUAUGAAGCUCAAAGAACUAAGGAGUACUUUAUUUCUCCUUUUCUUUUCCUUUCUUUUUUUUCUUUUUCCACCAUAUAUAUUUUUUUCUUUUUGCUCCUCAGAACUCUCUGCAACAUAUUACGUAUUUAGCAGUAGUUAAAAAUAAUGCGAUGACUCUCCCCCCUACUUAGACAAUGCUCGUCCUCGAGCAUGAAAAGGAAGAAAGAUAAACUGCUGAUGUAAGUCCCAAAUUCUUCGAUCUUCUGAAAAAAUUAUUUUAUUGCUCUGGAGGGAUUCCACGCCACAUUUCAGGGGCAAUAGAGGGGGGAACACCCUAGGCCAAUCGGCCUGAGGGUGGCCAAGAUGAUCGGCCUAGCCCAUUUUAGCCUUUAUUUCCUCCGUUUUUUAUUCCACGCACUGAUGUUUGCCUCCAUGUCUUGAUUUUCAUGAAAAUGCACUAAUUAAUCUUCAAAAUAUUUUUCAUACUCAAAUUGGGUUGUGGUCUAGGAGGUAGUCACAAAAAUGAUAUUUGGGUUUAGGAUUGGAAGCCCAACGAAGUUUACGAAAUUUUCAGUGUACAAAUUCACAAUGUAUGGACAGAAAAGCUAGAAAUAAGAUAUUACAAAAAAGGAAUGACCAGCUUCUAAGUCUCAUACCAUAGAAGUAGAUUCUAAAUCAAUUCACCCAAAAAUAAAUUUUACAAUCUAUGGUUCAUAUAAAUAUUUGGCUUUCGAGCAAUUGCAACAAGUAUUAUUGACGAGGUUAGCAUGAGUUGUAACAAAAAAUAAAAGAGCCUUUGAUCCAUUUAAAAGAGAGGGCAAUAAACAAAUAUAUGAAUCCAAAUUAUAUAACGUCCAUAAAAAGAUAACAUGGUAUUUAUGUCAAUUUUCAGUUUAUGUUAAAGAGAGCAUUAGUUCAAUGGUGCAAUAACCAAGUACAAAAAUUAAACAAGGUGGCAACGAUCAUCAUCUUUCAACAUGACAAGAAUUUAAACCAUCACAUUUAAUCACAUAUCAUUAGGUUCAGGUAAUGCAUAUUUUAUUUAGCAUGGCAUGGUGAAAUAAACACACAGACUGAAAAAUAAAGAGAAAAUAAAACAAAAAAGUAAAAUAGAAAAUACUACGCACACCCAACACACAUGCUGAAAUAAAUAAAUAAAAAGAAAAGAAAACCCAAACCACACGUGUGCGUUUUUAUUCGUCCCCUUUGGUCUCUAGUACAGGUCAUCUUGCGGCGGGUCGUAGUGUGGCUCUCCCUGUGGCACGUCUCCGUGCUGUUGGUACUCGCGAUACCCCUGCUCGUAGUGCUCCUGCGCUCCACCUUAGUACUGAUUUGGAGGCACAAUCCCUAGCAUGCCGAACUAAUAGGCGAUGGCCAUGUUUCCGUCCUCAAUCCUGUCAGCAGCUUGCCUCACAGCGUCUGCAUCUUGUAAAUUAUUAUAUGCGCCUAUGAUGUGCGCACUUCUUUGUGGCUGUGGCAGGGUGGUUGUAUUGAGCAGAUAAUGGAGCAUGUGGUGGAGGUCCCUAGAAAGAAGGCGGCCUAUAAUCAUGAGAAACUUAUGGUGCUUGUGGAGGUGGAUGCGCCGGUUGAUGAAAUUCCGAUCGUACUAGAUAUGCCGACUAUUGGAGAUGUGGUGCAGAUGGGCCUUGUGCCCAUGCCUAUGUUGGCGCCUUUGGCCACUAUUCUUGCUGCCAUCCUUCAUGGACUCCCUCGUAGUUUGGUGCAUUCUUAAACUCCAUCUGCCAGUAGCUUGAGCUAGGUGGUGGUACUUGUAUCUCUGGAGCUGCCUGUGAUGAUGAGCCUUUUUAUAUUCUCUAUCCUCUCUUGUGUUUCUUUGCGGGAAAUAUAAUUCCUUCUUUCUACCAGUUAGUCUCUCCCACAUGGUAAAUCCCUAGUCUUCUAUCAGGCAAUUUGAAAUUAGUAACUCCAACUGUAUACACUUUCUCUCCAUCGCCGCCAAUUAAGUGUGCAUUUUUCAUUAUCCUAGCAUCAAUGCUUCCUCCUUUUAUGAACCACUUAGUGACCCUUUCAAUAUCUGGCUUCAAAAAGGAUGCAAUCAUGGUCAAGUAGCAACCUGAUCCAACAGUCCCGGUCCCUGAUGUGGUUUCAGCAAGCCAUCUGUUUAUCAUCAACAAUGAGGGGUCAGUCACUUUUUUUCCCACUACCGCAUAGUAAAGCCAGUUUAUCUCGAAGUCAGUAAUUUUAGUCUCCUUCAUUCUUCCCGAGACACGGUGGCUCAUCCAAAAAUGAAAUACUUGUAGUAUGGGAUUGCAAAUAUUUUUUCGUUGCCUGUUUUCUUCCUUUACAAUUUUCUUCUAGGAUUCUUUUAAGUCUUCUUCUUCCACUUCUCCAUAUAUUUGGGGCUUUUGGAUUGAAAUCAUGUAGUGUUGUGAUUGCUCCAUAUGUAAUAAUCUUCACUUCAUCCUUUAUUCUAACGGAUAGGCAUGGAAUUUAUUCAUUUGUCUUCUCGUUCCAUUGCAUGACCUUUUUCAUGGUCACGAGCAUCACCACGGCCACAUCCUUGCAUACACUGAUGGGGUCAUUAAGAGCAAAUUGCAUCCACCCAAUAUUUCCUAGGAACUUGUAAAUAUCAUUAUGAAAUCCAAUAUCCUAAAGAAAGUUGUCAUCAAAGUCAUGGUUGGCGAUGAUGCUUCCUUCAAUAUUCUUCAGCCACUCUUCCUCUUACUUGCUUUUUAUCAUGAAGCCGUAUUCCGAUUUCUUUUCAGUGAAGCCCCCACGAGAGCAAGUUUCUCUCCUCGAAGUGUACGAUGCGGCUUCAGGAAUUCCCCGUAGUUCAUCGAACCGCAUGAAGAAGUUUCAUGUGGUCUUCCCAUCAAGCAACAUACGAUCACUGCAUGGUGGUACCACGUUGACGUCCAUGCCUCGCAGUGACUCGAAGACCGAGUGCCGUCGCGAAGCGCUUGAUGUAGAUGAUGCUUCGGCCAUUGAGCAAGACUUCUUGAUCUUCCCGAAAAUUCUUCCCAAGCUCUUCAUGGCUGCACACUCAAGAGAAACAGCUUGCCGGGGUUUCUUGCUGAUGAGAAAAUUGCACAAGAACAAGAAAUAGCAAGAGGUGAUUGCUGAAAUUUUUCUAGUGGCUGGAAUUCUUUGUAUGAGUGCAGUUUCAAAAAUUUUCAGAGGCUAUUCAAAGGUGUUCUUGGUGUGUUGGACAAAAAAUAUGAUGAACAAUUGAGAGAGUGGGUGCGUACCAAAGGGGGGGGGUGCCUGGAGGCUUAAAAGAGCUCAGGCCGAUCGGCCUGAGCCUCACCAGGCCGAUCGGCCUUGUGGUUUUCCACCACCUUUGCUUGUCAUUUUUCUUUCCAUGCUUUCUUGGCCAUUAUCGCACUGUGAAUUUUCAGGUCCUUCACAUGAAUGCACCGCCCAAGCAGUCUCCUCCACUCCUUUGUGUUGUCACCCUGUUGAAAAUCAUGCACUUAUGUGUUAUAGCCUUGUCGUUUUCUCAAUUUCACUCAAUGCCUCAUAUUUUGAGCUGUAACAAACAAUUAUGGUAGGCCACUCUGUGUUUCUUUAUGCAUGUAUUCAGGAAUGGCCCUCCCAGGAUGAGUGGAGAUUUAGUUUCUUCUCCCAUCUCGAGUAUCACAAACCAACAGGGACAAAGUGAUUCCCGAUCUUCACAGGUACAUCUUCAGCAAUGCCUUCAGGAUAGCGAACGUGUUGUUCGCUAACUCCAGGCACAUAGCAGUUGCUUCCGGCUCUGCAGGCGUAGCUUCUCGAAUACAUGUUUAGUCAUGACGCUCACACUUGCGCCAAGAUCACAUAAUGCCCUUUCGAACAUCCGCGCUCCAAUUGAACAAAGGAUGGUUGGACAUCGAAGAUCUCUUUUCUUCUCGGGAGCUUGAUUAGCAAUAGCAGCAUUGCACACUUCUGUCAUCUUGAUGUGAUCUGUAGUGAACUGUGGAAUCUCUAGCUUGUUUGUCAAGAUAUCCUUGAAUUAGCGAGCAUAGGUUGGAACUUGUAGAGCAUCCAACAGUGGCAUAUUAAUGUUCAACCUGUGCACAACUUCAACAAACUUCUCAAACUGUUCGUCAGUUUUACCUAGACGAUGGCGUAGUUUCUUUGACAGAAUCUUUGUGUCAUCUUGAUCGACCAUCUCAAACUCUGUCUCUUCCAUUUCAAUCUCUGGAACUGGGGUAGGUAUCUUCUCCUUUGAAGUCAUCUCUACUUCUGCUACUGGUUUAGGCUUCCUAGCUCCUACCGGAUGUUUUGGAUCUUUUGUUUCAUUGCCUGAGCGAGUUUGAAUAGUUUUAGCUGACUUUGGAUUCAUUGGUUGUCCUAACAACUUCGUUGAUUGCUUGUAAAAUGCCUAGAUAAUUAUGUAACUUGAGUCUCCAGUAUCUUCAUCAUGUUCAUCACUUGGUGGUUCGAACUUUGCUGUCGAUAUUUUUUAGAAUUGUGUCCAUAGUCUUGAACUUAGUAACAUUAUCUUUGUUGAUCUUGCCUUGCUCCUCCAUGAACUCCUUUAGCUAAAUGCAUAGAGGCACUAUAUUCUGAAUAGAUGAGCUUGCACUGAAUUGAGUUCUAUUCUGUCCAUGUCGAUAGUUGGAUGGGGGAAACCACUCUUAGUUCUUCAUGUAGUCAAGCAACUUUGCUUCCUCUGGACAGUUCUUCCUGACAUGGCCAUAGUCGCCACACUCUUCACAUGUUGAUCUUACUUUUGCUACCUUCAGGUCUAUAGCUUCAGUUUCCUUUAUCUCUAUCUUGUCCAGUCUCCUCAUUAGCGAGUCAAUUUUUCCUUCGAGUAAUUGAUCACGCUCCACCUGCAACACUUCUUGUGUAUUUCCAAUAGGUUGAGCUAGGAAUAGGCACUCAGAUGAUGCUCAUGCAUCGUUGUUUGCAACUUUCUUGAAUAACUUGAAAGCUUGACUUGGGGUGAGGUCUAUAAUUGAUCCUCCAGCCGAUGCAUUGAUAAUUGCCCUUGAUGUUGAUGUUAGCCCUUGAUAGAACUUCUGGACUAUCCUUUGGGUACUUAUGGUGUGGAACUGCACGGAUGUAAUCAUUGAAGCGCUCAUGAGCUUCAGCAAUCGUCUCGGAAGCAUAUUGAGCAAAAGUAGCUAUCCUGCUUCUGAGAUUCUAAGUCUUGGCUAGUGAAUAAUGCUCAGUUAAGAAAGUCUUCUUCAACUCAUCCCAAUUCUGAAUUGUUGCCACCGAUAGAGAGUAAAAACCAUUGAAGCGCUCUUCCAAGUAGAGAGUAAGGGAACAAUCUUUCCUUUAGUUGAUUCUGAGUAACUCCAUCCACGUCAAAGGUGUUGCAUAGCUGCAUAAAUGCUUAUAGAUGAAGAUUAGCAUCCUCCUUGCCAGUGAAUGGUGAACUCUGCAAGAUCCUCAGUCUUGAAGUAUCAAUCCCAAACGGUCGGCCGACGCCACCCAGUUUAUAGAUAGGUAAGUCAUUGAUGUUCGGAAUGCAAAGUUCCCCAUAGUAGGCUCUCGCUCCAGUUGUUGAUUUCUCAUUGCAGGUGCUUGCAGUACUUCUGGAGUAACUGCUACUCCCAAAAAUUGGAGGUCCCCGGAGACCUUUUAGUACUAGGUCGUAACACCACCCGAUACUAAAAUUGACCCUUUAGUACCGGGUGGUGUUACCCGGUACUAAAGGUCUCUCCACACGUACUUCAAAUGGAAAGCAUAUACAUAUCCAUCGCAUGUGCUUUGUAUGCGGAGUGGUGUUUGCGGCUGUUAGCACGCCAAUUUGUGAACCACAAGCGUAUGGAUCAGUUGUAGCUCUUCCCUCAGAGUAUUCCCCCAAGGUUUAUCAAUCUAUGGAACUUGUAGCACAAGAUCUAUUUUAACUACCAUUGUUAGUAUUAACUUGGUGUUUAUGAGAGAUUCAGAUCCAAUCUACUAAGCAUGUACAGACAGAUAACAGUUAGAGCAAAGAUAACCAAUCUAGAGCAAUCUAGACUAUGCAUAUGUUGUAAUUCUGAGCAUGGAUAGCAAAGCAACACAGACAUGAUCUCAGUAAAAAAUAUAUUUAAAUCUACACCUUCGGUCCGGAUCCUGAAACCCCCCACCUUAUAAAAGAAAGAUCCUAUCAUGAUCAAGCAGGUUAAGGGCAUAAUCCUAAGAACAUGUCAUACUCAUCAGUAGAUCAGGCAUG